GUUGAAGUUCAGGUAACACUGAAUGGAGGACCGAACCGACUUACGUUGAAAAGUGAGCGGAUGAACUGAGGGUAGCGGAGAAAUUCCAAUCGAACCUGGAGAUAGCUGGUUCUCUCCGAAAUAGCUUUAGGGCUAGCCUCAAGUGAUGAUUAUUGGAGGUAGAGCACUGUUUGGACGAGGGGCCCCUCUCGGGUUACCGAAUUCAGACAAACUCCGAAUGCCAAUUAAUUUAACUUGGGAGUCAGAACAUGGGUGAUAAGGUCCGUGUUCGAAAGGGAAACAGCCCAGACCACCAGCUAAGGUCCCAAAAUAUAUGUUAAGUGGAAAAGGAUGUGGCGUUGCCCAGACAACUAGGAUGUUGGCUUAGAAGCAGCCAUCAUUUAAAGAGUGCGUAAUAGCUCACUAGUCGAGUGACACUGCGCCGAAAAUGUACCGGGGCUAAACAUAUUACCGAAGCUGUGGAUUGUCCUUUGGACAAUGGUAGGAGAGCGUUCUAAGGGCGUUGAAGCAUGAUCGCAAGGACAUGUGGAGCGCUUAGAAGUGAGAAUGCCGGUGUGAGUAGCGAAAGACGGGUGAGAAUCCCGUCCACCGAUUGACUAAGGUUUCCAGAGGAAGGCUCGUCCGCUCUGGGUUAGUCGGGUCCUAAGCUGAGGCCGACAGGCGUAGGCGAUGGAUAACAGGUUGAUAUUCCUGUACCACCUAUAAUCGUUUUAAUCGAUGGGGGGACGCAGUAGGAUAGGCGAAGCGUGCGAUUGGAUUGCACGUCUAAGCAGUAAGGCUGAGUAUUAGGCAAAUCCGGUACUCGUUAAGGCUGAGCUGUGAUGGGGAGAAGACAUUGUGUCUUCG
Molecule: ribosomal RNA, 846 nt
Filed under: Staphylococcus aureus
Lineage: Bacteria; Bacillati; Bacillota; Bacilli; Caryophanales; Staphylococcaceae
Description: partial 23S ribosomal RNA
Rfam family: Bacterial large subunit ribosomal RNA
Source: RNAcentral